RNAcentral lists this long non-coding RNA (443 nucleotides) under Malus domestica (apple). RNAcentral's name for it is "long non-coding RNA (MDOM_LNC006975)". The record is from RNAcentral. Lineage: Eukaryota; Viridiplantae; Streptophyta; Magnoliopsida; Rosales; Rosaceae.
GUAGGUAUAGGUAGUAAUCUUACUUACUGGUAUCUAAUUUUUACUAAAAUGUCAAAUGUACUAUAGCUAAAAUCCAUGCGGUUUGAAAGCUAUGAAACUAAAUGCUUUACCUAGAAUCUCUGAGGAACUUGUGAUUGAAGAACUCCAUAAAUGAUAGUCGCUCAACUGCAAAUCAAGGUAUUAUUUUUUACAUGGUAGCUUUGUUGAGUAAACUCUUGAUAUUCACAUGUCACUAGUAGUAAAUCACACAUUAUUCAGCUCUGAAAUGUAAUUAAAUCAAAAUACAUAGGCAAGCAUAACACCAGAUACUUAAUAAUAUAUCAAUCAUGACCUGGAUUUUGACGUAACAGGCUUCUGCAGAGAUCUAUGUAAUCUGGAUGCAAUUCUUCCAAAGCACCUUGUGGAAACCUCAGUUCAGUCGAUGUCACGAUAUUUUGGAAAAG